Molecule: ribosomal RNA, 468 nt
Filed under: uncultured bacterium
Lineage: Bacteria
Description: partial 16S ribosomal RNA
Rfam family: Bacterial small subunit ribosomal RNA
Source: RNAcentral
GACGAACGCUGGCGGCGUGCUUAACACAUGCAAGUCGAACGGAAAGGCCCUGCUUUUGUGGGGUGCUCGAGUGGCGAACGGGUGAGUAACACGGGAGUAACCUGCCCUUGACUUUGGGAUAACUUCAGGAAACUGGGGCUAAUACCGGAUAGGAGCUCCUGCUGCAUGGUGGGGGUUGGAAAGUUUCGGCGGUUGGGGAUGGACUCGCGGCUUAUCAGCUUGUGGGUGGGGUAGUGGCUUACCAAGGCUUUGACGGGUAGCCGGCCUGAGAGGGUGACCGGCCACAUUGGGACUGAGAUACGGCCCAGACUCCUACGGGAGGCAGCAGUGGGGAAUAUUGCACAAUGGGCGGAAGCCUGAUGCAGCAACGCCGCGUGCGGGAUGACGGCCUUCGGGUUGUAAACCGCUUUCGCCUGUGACGAAGCGUGAGUGACGGUAAUGGGUAAAGAAGCACCGGCUAACUACGUG